Molecule: small RNA, 761 nt
Filed under: Pan troglodytes (chimpanzee)
Lineage: Eukaryota; Metazoa; Chordata; Mammalia; Primates; Hominidae
Description: retained intron
Source: RNAcentral
CGGCGGAGGAGAAGGUGGUGGUCUGUCACGUGGUGGGCCAGGCUAUUCAGUUCUUGGUCAGCGAGACGCCUGCCUUGGGUGCUGGAUGCCGGCUGUACGACGUGCGGCUCUCCCCUUUCCAUUUACAGCUGGAGUUCCACAUGAAGGAGAAGAGAGAGGACCUCCAGAUUAGCUGGUCUUUCAUCAGUGUGCCGGAAAUGGCCGUUAAUAUCCAGCCCAAAGCACUGGGGGAGGACCAGGUGGCUGAGACAAGUGCGAUGUCUGACGCUCUCAAGGACAUCUUGAAGCAUUUGGUUGGUUCUGCCUCUCCAUCAGUGGUUCUGAUCAUCAAGCCCACGACUGUAAAGGAAGCUCAGAACUUACAGUGUGCUGCAUCUACUGCUCAGGAAUCCUGUCCUCCUAAACCUCCAAGGGCUCACGAGCUAAAGCUACUGGUGAGGAACAUCCAUGCCUUGCUGCUCAGUGAGCCCGGUGCCUCAGGCCACAUUAAUGCAGUGUGCGUAGUGCAGCUGAACGAUCCUGUUCAGAGGUUCUCCAGCACCCUGACGAAAAACACUCCGGACCUCACGUGGCAAGAGGAAUUCACCUUGUGAGUCCGGCCGGGUUAUGGGCCUGUGUGUCCACGGCCGUGUCUGUUCAGGAGCGCCAAAUCCUGAAAUCAUUCUGCAGCACCGUUUAGACUAAAACACGAAACCAAAACAGUUAACAACAAAUGAUGUCUUAAGCAUCUUAAAGGUAGCUUUAGGUCAAACAUGGGUUUC